This 282-nucleotide unclassified non-coding RNA is filed under the name plant metagenome. RNAcentral's name for it is "partial contains small subunit ribosomal RNA, internal transcribed spacer 1, and 5.8S ribosomal RNA". The stretch from base 235 to 282 matches the Rfam family "5.8S ribosomal RNA", at positions 1 to 49 of the family's 154-position model. The record is from RNAcentral.
UUUCCGUAAGUGAACCUGCGGAAGGAUCAUUAUUGUAUAACCGAGGUGCGAGGGCUGUCGCUGACCCGAAAGGUCGUGCACGCCCGAGUGCCCUCACACACAUCCAUCUCACCCCUAUGUGCACCACCGCGUGGGUCCCCCUUUGGCUUGUUCGGAGGGGGGCUUACGUCUUCACACAAACUUUGUAUGCAGUGUAGAAUGUAUUUUUUGUUUUUGCGAUCACGCAAUCAAUACAACUCUCAACAACGGAUCUCUUGGCUCUCGCAUCGAUGAAGAACGAGC